AUUGAACGCUGGCGGAAUGCUUUACACAUGCAAGUCGAACGGCAGCACGGACUUCGGUCUGGUGGCGAGUGGCGAACGGGUGAGUAAUGUAUCGGAACGUGCCCAGUCGUGGGGGAUAACGUAGUGAAAAUUACGCUAAUACCGCAUACGAUCUAUGGAUGAAAGCGGGGGAUCGCAAGACCUCGCGCGAUUGGAGCGGCAGAUAUCAGAUUAGGUAGUUGGCGGGGUAAAGGCCCGCCAAGCCAACGAUCUGUAGAUGGUCUGAGAGGACGACCAGCCACACUGGAAGUGAGACACGGUCCAGACUCCCACGGGAGGCAGCAGUGGGGAAUUUUGGACAAUGGGCGAAAGCCUGAUCCAGCCAUUCCGCGUGCAGGAUGAAGGCCCUCGGGUUGUAAACUGCUUUUGUACAGAACGAAAAGGUUUCUACUAAAACUAGGAGCUCAUGACGGUACUGUAAGAAUAAGCACCGGCUAACUACGUGCCAGCCGCCGCGGUAA
RNAcentral lists this ribosomal RNA (500 nucleotides) under uncultured bacterium. RNAcentral describes it as "partial 16S ribosomal RNA". It matches the Rfam family "Bacterial small subunit ribosomal RNA", at positions 30 to 523 of the family's 1533-position model. The record is from RNAcentral.